Long non-coding RNA from Paramisgurnus dabryanus, 316 nucleotides. RefSeq lists it as uncharacterized. Lineage: Eukaryota; Metazoa; Chordata; Actinopteri; Cypriniformes; Cobitidae. The record is from RefSeq and is a predicted model, not a curated record.
UUCGUCGUUGUUGUUGUUUUUUAAAGAGUGAACACAUUUUUACCAAUCUUUUAUUUGUCCGAUCACAGGCCAUUAUGUCCCAAGGACUGAGACAUGCUCCAAAAAAAAAAACGUUAUGAGGAGUAUGUACAAGACAUGAGCUCAUCUGAGUCCGUGCUGCCAUCUCCACCCCCAAAGAAGCCCCGUGUUUCUACUUUCCCCCUACCGCCUAAUAAAUAUGGCGCUGCCCCUGCCUCAAAAGCUGCCCCUGCCUCAAAAGCUGCCCCUGCCUCAAAAGCUGCCCCUGCCUCAAAAGCUGCCCCUGCCUCAAAAGCUG